RNAcentral lists this ribosomal RNA (329 nucleotides) under uncultured eukaryote. RNAcentral describes it as "partial 18S ribosomal RNA". It matches the Rfam family "Eukaryotic small subunit ribosomal RNA", at positions 1470 to 1796 of the family's 1831-position model. The record is from RNAcentral.
CCCUUAGAUGUUCUGGGCCGCACGCGCGCUACACUGAUGCAUUCAACGAGUCUAAAACCUGGUCUGAUAGGGCUGGGUAAUCUUUUGAAUGUGCAUCGUGAUUGGGAUAGAUGAUUGCAAUUAUUAAUCUUCAACGAGGAAUGCCUAGUAAGCGCAAGUCAUCAGCUUGCGUUGAUUACGUCCCUGCCCUUUGUACACACCGCCCGUCGCUCCUACCGAUUGAAUGGUCCGGUGAAGCGUUCGGACCGUGGCCUUUGGACGGUUCGCCGUCUGUUGGCUGCGGGAAGUUCGUUAAACCUUAUCAUUUAGAGGAAGGAGAAGUCGUAACA